Non-coding RNA from Lathyrus oleraceus (garden pea), 74 nucleotides. NCBI's taxonomy places the organism in Eukaryota, Viridiplantae, Streptophyta, Magnoliopsida, Fabales, Fabaceae. The record is from the annotation of a RefSeq genome assembly.
CCGACCUUAGCUCAGUUGGUAGAGCGGAGGACUGUAGAUCCUUAGGUCACUGGUUUGAAUCCGGUAGGUUCGGA